Molecule: ribosomal RNA, 476 nt
Filed under: uncultured bacterium
Lineage: Bacteria
Description: bacterial SSU rRNA
Rfam family: Bacterial small subunit ribosomal RNA
Source: RNAcentral
AAUGAACGUUGGCGGCGUGGAUUAGGCAUGCAAGUCGCGCGACAAGUUUUUUCUGCUUGCAGAAAAAUGGAGGAGCGGCGAAAGGGAGAGGAACACGUGGGUUACCUGCCCCUGGAUCCAGGAUAACUGCGGGAAACUGCAGGUAAUACUGGAUAACGUCUCCGGACCAAAGGUGUGAUUCCGUCCGGGAGGGGCCCACGUCCUAUUAGCUUGUUGGUGGGGUAAAAGCCUACCAAGGCAAAGAUGGGUACCGGGUGUGAGAGCAUGACCCGGCUCACUGGGACUGAGACACUGCCCAGACACCUACGGGUGGCUGCAGUCGAGAAUCUUCGGCAAUGGACGCAAGUCUGACCGAGCGACGCCGCGUGCGGGAUGAAGGCCUUCGGGUUGUAAACCGCUGUCAGAGGGGAGGAAAUGCCAUAGGGCACUCUCUAUGGUUUGACCGAUCCUCAGAGGAAGUCCGGGCUAAGUUCGUG